CUGAAAUACGUUCAAAAAACAGUCAAAAAGCGGA
Molecule: small RNA, 34 nt
Filed under: Bombyx mori (domestic silkworm)
Lineage: Eukaryota; Metazoa; Arthropoda; Insecta; Lepidoptera; Bombycidae
Description: ovarian small RNA-14763
Source: RNAcentral